AGAGUUUGAUCCUGGCUCAGAUUGAACGCUGGCGGCAUGCCUUACACAUGCAAGUCGAACGGCAGCACGGGAGCAAUCCUGGUGGCGAGUGGCGAACGGGUGAGUAAUAUAUCGGAACGUGCCCAGUCGUGGGGGAUAACGCAGCGAAAGCUGUGCUAAUACCGCAUACGAUCUCUGGAUGAAAGCGGGGGACUCAGCAAUGGGCCUCGCGCGAUUGGAGCGGCCGAUAUCAGAUUAGCUAGUUGGUGGGGUAAAAGCCCACCAAGGCGACGAUCUGUAGCUGGUCUGAGAGGACGACCAGCCACACUGGAACUGAGACACGGUCCAGACUCCUACGGGAGGCAGCAGUGGGGAAUUUUGGACAAUGGGCGCAAGCCUGAUCCAGCAAUGCCGCGUGCAGGAUGAAGGCCUUCGGGUUGUAAACUGCUUUUGUACGGAACGAAACGGUUCUCUCUAAUAAAGGGGGCUAAUGACGGUACCGUAAGAAUAAGCACCGGCUAACUACGUGCCAGCAGCCGCGGUAAUACGUAGGGUGCGAGCGUUAAUCGGAAUUACUGGGCGUAAAGCGUGCGCAGGCGGUUAUAUAAGACAGAUGUGAAAUCCCCGGGCUCAACCUGGGACCUGCAUUUGUGACUGUAUAGCUAGAGUACGGUAGAGGGGGAUGGAAUUCCGCGUGUAGCA
RNAcentral lists this ribosomal RNA (681 nucleotides) under uncultured bacterium. Its description in RNAcentral is "bacterial SSU rRNA". It matches the Rfam family "Bacterial small subunit ribosomal RNA", at positions 8 to 680 of the family's 1533-position model. The record is from RNAcentral.